RNAcentral lists this long non-coding RNA (2756 nucleotides) under Sus scrofa (pig). RNAcentral's name for it is "lncRNA (ENSSSCG00035044506.1)". The record is from RNAcentral. Lineage: Eukaryota; Metazoa; Chordata; Mammalia; Artiodactyla; Suidae.
CUUUGGUUGGAAUGAUAGCCUGAUGCAAACUACUUCAUCUUGCAGAGAAGCAGAAACUCUUAAUUACAGUACACUUUAAAAAAAUCUAUAGUAUAUUUAUAUUCAUGUAAUACGGAGAAAAAAGGUGGACAUAUGUGUAGUACAGAUGCUCUAAUUAGAGUUUUUCCAUGUACAAAUUUGAAAUAAGUGUAUAAUCUAUAUUAAAUGAAUACCAGUUAUGUGGCAUGCACUCAUGUAGGUUCUGCCUGACAUGUGCAAAAGGCCAGUGGACAUUCUUUAUAUUAGAAUCUUUCAUAAUCCCAUAGGUGAUUUUUAAUUCUGGGAAUAGAUAUGAAUUCAAAAGAAAAAAGAUAAAAAUUAUUUGGUUUAUCCUAGUUUGGGAACAAAACCAGAAGAAAAUAGAAUCAAAGUUAAAUCCUAAAAGCAAACCGAAAUAGGAAUAUAGGUGAAGUGGAGAGAGAGGGAAAAAUAAUAAGCCCAUAUGAGACAAUAGAUCAACUAUUUUUUAAAAAGGAAGGAAAAAGCUGUCCUUAAUCUUCUAUGAUGUUAAAUAAACUUUAUGAGGUUCUAAUGAUGGAUUUUCAUACUGACUUGAAAUUAGCAAUAAACAAGCAUCUUUGAUUUUUUUUCAUUCUGCAUUUUAAAGUUCAAUUUUAUCUUUUAUUUUCAUGCACCUUUGUUUUUUUCUGAUACAGUUCUCCGCCUUUCCUAGGUUUUAUUUAUUUUCAAAAAUUAUAACAUUCUUGCGAGUUCCUGUUGUGGCACAGUGGGAAUGAAUCUGACUAGUAUCCGUGAGGUUGUGGCUUUGAUCCCUGGCUCCAUUCAGUGGGUUGGGGAUCCAGCCUCGCCGUGGGUUGUAGUGUAGGUCACAGACAGCUCCAGCUGCUGGGGCUGUGGUAUAGGCCAACAGGAUAGGAUUCAACCCUUAGCCUGGGAAUUUCCAUAUGCUGCUGGUGCGGCCCUAAGAAAAAAAACUUAUAAUAUUCUUUGGAUUCAUGUACUGCUUAUCUCUUCUGGCUGUUCAUUAAUAAAGAUAUUAUUCAACACUAUGAAGUAUUUUGGCCUAUAGGGCAAGUUAAAUGUCCUACUUUCUCUUACAAAUUGCAAUCUAUACAAUUCUCACAAUGUAUUUGAUUUUUCCACAGUCACCAUUUGAUAGUUUCCCUAAAUGAAUACUACCUACAUAUUUAUAGCAAGCUUUAGUCUGUGUAAGAGUUAGAAACAAAAUUCCUUGAUCUGCCUAAUAAGAAUGUUCCCAGUCAAAUGUUCAAGCAUAUUACCUUUGCUUUAUAAUCCAUCAGUGAUUUCUUUCUACCUGUUAAAGUAAACAUUAAGGAACAAACUUAACCUAAAAUCAUAUAUUUGAAAGAAGGUCUAUUCAGCAGUUUAAUUCACCUAUAUUAAAAUUUGUAAUAUCUGUUUGCUCAAACUUAAUUGAAGUUUGAACAUUAAUGUUAUAUUGUGAAGUUAUAUAACCAAAAUAUAACUAUUUAAAAUAUACCUGAUUUUAGUAGACUGUUUUUUCGUAAAUGCAUUUUAAUAUUAAUAUUUUGCUAUUAUUAUUAUUGUUAUUUUACUCAUUAUUUGAUGUUGAUGAAUAGGCAUACCUCAGAUAUAUUGUGGAUUCAGUUUCAAACAACCACAAUGAAGCAAAUAAUGCAAUAAAGCAAGUCAGACAAAUUUCUUUUGUUUCCUAGUGUGUAGAAAAGUUAUGUUUACAUUAUAAGCUAGUCUUUUAAGUGUGCAAUAUCAUUAUAUCUCUGAAAAUUAUGUACAUACCUUAAUUUAAAAAUAUUUUAUUGCUAAAAAAUGCUAACCAUCAUCUGAGCCUUAAGCAAGUCAUAAUCUUUUUGCCAGUGGAAUUUUUGAAAUGUUGUGAGAAUUACCAAAAUAUGACAGAAAGACACAAAGUGAAUAAAUGCUACUGGAAAAAUGGCACCAAUAGACUUGCUCAAGGCAACAUAGCCACAAACCUUCCAUUUGUAAGAAACAAAGUAUUUGUGAAGUGCAAUAAAACUGGGUAUGCUCACACUGUAAAAAACACACACAUAACAUUUUACAGCCAAAACAUACAUGUUUACACUUGAUAAAAGUAACAGUUUAACUUUUCUAAUAUUUUCAUAAGAUCAAUUGUGAAAUAUAUAUAUACCAUUUCAGAGUCAAUAUCCUCACUUUUUGUUGUUGUUGUUUACAGAUACUAUAGAAUAAAUUAAAUAAAAGGAAUUUUUUUUUAGGUCCACACCCAAGGCAUAUGGAAGUUUCCAGGCUAGGGGUGGAAUCAGAGCUGCAGCUGCCGGCCUACACCACAGCCACAGCAACACAGGAUCUGAGUUGCAUCUGCAACCUACGCCACAACUCAGGGCAACACAGGAUCCUUAAUCCACUGAGCGGGGCCAGGGAUUAAACCCAUGUCCUCAUGGAUACUAGUCAGGUUCAUUACCACUGAGCCACAACCAGGAACUUCCUUUUUUUUUUUGAAGGAAAUUUCUUGACCUAAGAAGUCUCAGAGGUCCCAUUUAUAGCUCAGCAAGUUAAGAAUCUGACUAAUAUCCAUGAGGAUACGGGUCUGAUCCCUGGCCUCGCUCAGUGGUUUAAGGAUCUAGCAUUGCCACAAGCUGGGGCAUAGGUCAUAUAUGUUGCUGGGAUCUGGUGUUGCUGUGGCUGUUGCAUAGGCUGGCAGGUGCAGCUCUCAUUUGAACUCUAACCUAUGAAUUUCCAUAGCCACAGGUGUGGCCCUAAAAAGAAAAAAGAAGUCU